Molecule: non-coding RNA, 1137 nt
Organism: Punica granatum (pomegranate)
Lineage: Eukaryota; Viridiplantae; Streptophyta; Magnoliopsida; Myrtales; Lythraceae
Source: RefSeq, a predicted model, not a curated record
CUUUGAUUAGUUUAAUUUAAUUUCCUUAUUAUAUAUCUUACUGUUGAUGUUCUUAUAGCAUGUUAGUUUAUUUGAAGGGCAGCAACUCAACAACAGGUCAGCUGAUUGUGGAUGGCAACGAGCAGCACCAGGGAGCCUGGGGGAUGCUCAAGGAGCAGCACAGGACCAGAGGAGGGGCAGUAUCGUCUACAUGGAAGAGAGAGCUGCAGCUCAACAGCAGCAGGUCAAAGGUGGAAGGAAGGUGAGGAUGGCAGCGGCUGUUGAGUGGAUGAGAUGGAAGGCGGAGAAGGAGACGAUAAAGGUAAAGCAAGGAGGUUGUGAUAGGAAGGUCAAAGAAGACCCGGAAGCUCAGAGGAGUCGAGAGAAAAGAAGAGCAAGGGAUCGUGGUUGAUGAUGGACCAAAGGAAGAGGAAAGGAGAGGGAGUCCAAGAUGGUGAUGGGCUGUGUGUGAGUUGAUAGAGAUGGACGUGAGAUGACAGAGACAAGGAGAGGAGGGUGCUGGUGUAAAGACCAAGCUGACGAGAGAAGGAAGGAGGGAAUGUUGCUGCAAUCGCUUAAGGAGGAGUCGAGAGAGACGGCUGAAAAACAGCUGAGCAGGAGAUGGCAUGAAGAUCCCAUGCUAUGGCUGCUCUCCCCUUUGACUGAGAGACCGAGAGAGAGAGAGCUAGGAAGUAGGAACAGAGGGAAGGGCAGCUGCCGUCUCUUCUGGCUAUCUGUGCUCUGUUCUGACCCGAGAGAAAGAGAGAGAGAGCAAGAGAGAAGGAAGGGCUGCGGAGCUGCUGGGUAAAGGGGAGGGCCCGAGAGAGAGAGUACGAGAGGGUGGCGAAACAGCGGAAAAAGAACAAGAAAAGAAGAAAAGAAGAAAGGGAGAACACGCUUGAUGGAAAUGUUGCGUGAAGAUGAUGUUUUUGCCAAAAAUGGCGGGUGGCGUGAAUGGAUCAGCAGAGGAUGGGGUUUGGAGGUAGCGGUUGCAGGAGCUGCAGAAGAAAAGGAGAAAAAAAAAAAGAGAGAGAAGGAAGGAAGAAGAGCAAGGGAAGGCAUGCGGACCCCUCUGCCAUGCAACUUCAAAUUUUUUUUUUUGUUAUUAUUAUUUUUAUCGAUUUAUUCACACGGGCGUGGUUGCAGGAGCUGCAGAAG